CCCGUCUUGAAACACGGACCAAGGAGUCUAGCAUGCGCGCGAGUCAUUGGGAAUUUAUAAACCCAGAGGCGCAAUUAAAGUGAACAGCGUCACCUAGUGACCGCAGGGAAGAUGGCGGCCGGUACGCCCGUCCGCCCGCAUUCCCGAGGCGUUUCGAGAAAUGCCCCCGUGCGAUUAUCGAGACGCACUGAGAGCGCGCACGCUGGGACCCGAAAGAUGGUGAACUAUGCCUGGUCAGGUCGAAGUCAGGGGAAACCCUGAUGGAGGACCGUAGCGAUUCUGACGUGCAAAUCGAUCGUCUGAACUGGGUAUAGGGGCGAAAGACUAAUCGAACUAUCUA
This 340-nucleotide ribosomal RNA is filed under the name Hydropsyche occidentalis. RNAcentral's name for it is "eukaryotic LSU rRNA". It matches the Rfam family "Eukaryotic large subunit ribosomal RNA", at positions 648 to 946 of the family's 3401-position model. The record is from RNAcentral. Lineage: Eukaryota; Metazoa; Arthropoda; Insecta; Trichoptera; Hydropsychidae.